RNAcentral lists this long non-coding RNA (438 nucleotides) under Medicago truncatula (barrel medic). RNAcentral describes it as "lncRNA gene20365". The record is from RNAcentral. Lineage: Eukaryota; Viridiplantae; Streptophyta; Magnoliopsida; Fabales; Fabaceae.
UUUGUACAAAAGAAAUGGGUUGCAUCAAAACAAAAUGAGUAUAAAGGUGAGGAAAGAGCCAAUGAGAUGAAAAGAAGUGUUUGGGGUCAUCAUAGUGAUAUCUCUCAAGCUCAUGUUUUCGAGUGCGUGUAGAACAAAUAUCUUGAAAGAGCAAAGUUUUCUAGAACAAAUCUCUCUGUUCUGAAGAAUUUAACGAUGUAUUAUGGGAGCAUUUUAAGUUCCACAAGUUGGCUCGUUAACUCGGUAAACAAUCUUAUUUUUUCAUCAGGAAUAAUAAAAUUUAUUAAUUUGUUGCUAUUAUUAUGCUAGAAAAACUUAUAUUUUAAGUAAUUUACAUGAUUUGUUGUUAUUAAAGAUAAAAACGUUUAAGAACAUUCUAGUUUUUUCCCUGUAUUUUUCAUUUAAAUGAGUAAUUUUCCCUUUUGAUUUUGUUGACUU